Molecule: small RNA, 50 nt
Filed under: Sinorhizobium meliloti 2011
Lineage: Bacteria; Pseudomonadati; Pseudomonadota; Alphaproteobacteria; Hyphomicrobiales; Rhizobiaceae
Description: putative ncRNA
Source: RNAcentral
GUCGAGGCGAUGGCCAGCGGGUUUUCCUGGCCGUCGACGGUGCCGGUGCU